This 116-nucleotide ribosomal RNA is filed under the name uncultured bacterium. RNAcentral describes it as "partial 16S ribosomal RNA". It matches the Rfam family "Bacterial small subunit ribosomal RNA", at positions 1357 to 1482 of the family's 1533-position model. The record is from RNAcentral.
CCACGGUGAAUACGUUCCCGGGCCUUGUACACACCGCCCGUCACGCCACGGAAGCCGAGGGCGCCUGAAGUCGGGGGAUUAAAUCCCUGCCGAGGGCGAAAUGGGUAACUGGGGCU